CCUCAUACCUUUGGCAUGGGUACGUUUUCAUAGCGUAACAUGAAUGCAAGUAUGAGGUACAUAAAUACAGCUAUAUGCCUUCGGUGUUCACACAUUUUUUUGUCUGAAUCCCAUCCUCAGAUGUUGUAACAAUA
Galleria mellonella (greater wax moth) is the source of this 134-nucleotide small nucleolar RNA. RefSeq annotates it as small nucleolar RNA SNORA57. The transcript has a single exon. The record is from RefSeq and is a predicted model, not a curated record. Lineage: Eukaryota; Metazoa; Arthropoda; Insecta; Lepidoptera; Pyralidae.